Balaenoptera ricei (Rice's whale) is the source of this 1815-nucleotide long non-coding RNA. RefSeq lists it as uncharacterized. The record is from RefSeq and is a predicted model, not a curated record. The transcript has 3 exons. Lineage: Eukaryota; Metazoa; Chordata; Mammalia; Artiodactyla; Balaenopteridae.
UACACUGUAUAUCUAUAGAACAGAGCAUUUUAAUGUUUCUUCCAUGAACUGCCUAUUGAUACCAUUUACUCACUUACCUACUGGGUUGUCUGUGGUUUCUUACUGACUCAUAAGGCUUCUGAAUACUGGAUAACCCUUUAAACCCCUUGUAAAAAUAUGUUCUAAAUACAAAAACUAAAAGUAAGGCCAGGGGCUUCCCUGGUGGCGCAGUGGUUGGGAGUCCGCCUGCCAACACAGGGGAUGCGGGGUCGAGCCCUGGUUUGGGAGGAUCCCACAGGCCAUGGAGCAACUGGGCCCGUGCACCACAACUACUGAGCCUGCGCUCUGGAGCCCGCGAGCCACAACUGCUGAGGCCCGCGUGCCUGGAGCCCAUGCUCCGCAACGGGGGAGGCCGUCACAGUGAGAGGCCCAUGCGCCACGGUGAGGAGUGGCCCCCGCUUGCCAUAACUAGGGAGAAGCCCGCGCGCAGCGGUGACGACCCAAUGCAGCCAAAAAUAAAUAAAUAAAAUAAAUAAAUUUAUAAAAAAUAAAUAAAAAUAAAGCCAGAAUCUUUGAGACUAGUACCCAUAUAAUUGAAAUUAUGAUCUAUACCAACACAUCCACUAUAGAGAAUUUACUCUCCAAAUACCUAACCAAAUUAGUAUUUGACAGAUAAACUACAAGAAUCACAAAAAAACCCCCACUCAACUCAGCUGGAGACCUGAUAAAUGGGUCAGUACAAUAGCAAAAAAAUUUGAACUAAAAUGGAAAAAACCUUGAGAUACUGAAAAUGAAUGAAAGAUUUAAAAAUAAAGCAAAAUAAUUUCUCCUUAAUUGUCUCCUUAAUUCUAUUUUUCCCCCAGUAGUCCAUUUUUCUUUAUUGCUAAAUAGUAUUCUACUGUGUGGAUGGACUGUACCAUAAUUUGCGUAUGCAUUCACCUGUGGAUGGAUAUUUGGGUUGUUUCCAGUUUGAGUCUCUUAUGGCUUUAAUUCUAUUUUACUUACUAAAAUUCCUCCAUGAGACAUACAGAGGUUCUCCUGGUUCCUGAUGAAGGUUGAUAUUAUCCCAUAACAGCUGAAUAUACACGAGUUUGCUAUCCUGGGACAGAGAUGACAGGGGAAGCUAAAAAAGAUCAGUAGAAAGUAUUAGUACCCCAAGCAUAAUAAUGAUUACCAGUUGACCUAGCAAAGCCUGAUUAUAUAAAACAGAUGAGUUCUUUCAAAAUUGUGGACCUAAAAUUCUGUGAAAAUUUAAAAAUUUUUAUUUAUAUCUGAUUACAAAUGUUCUUAUUAUUUUCUGAGGUGCAUGUUUCUCAUUCUGACUUUCAAGGACUGAAUGACAACUUGGUAACUGGCACAGCAGCCACAAGAAAGAUUAACCUCCAUCAAAACAAAUUUUAAGGGCAUGUGGGAUUUUAGUUUCCCGACCAGGGAUCGAACCCGUGCCCCCUGCAGUGGAAGUGCGGAGCUCUAACCACUGGACAGCCAGGGAAUUCCCCAUCUACAUCUUAUUUUAAAUGAAUAAAAAUGGGACAUGGAUUUGAGCCCUGGUCUGGGAAGAUCCCAAAUGCCGUGGAGCAACUAAACCCAUGCGCCACAACUACUGAGCCUGCACUCUAGAGCCCGCGUGCCACAACUACUGAAGCCCACAUGCCACAACUACUGAAGCCCGCGUGCCUAGAGCCCCUGCUCCGCAACAAGAGAAGCCACCGCAAUGAGAAGCCCGCACACCGCAAUGAAGAGCAGACCCCACUUGCCACAACUAGAGAAAGCCCGCGUGCAGCAACGAUGACCCAAUGCAGCCAAAAAUAAGUAAAUAAAAUAAAUAAAUUUUUU